RNAcentral lists this long non-coding RNA (1526 nucleotides) under Sus scrofa (pig). RNAcentral describes it as "lncRNA (ENSSSCG00030006568.1)". The record is from RNAcentral. Lineage: Eukaryota; Metazoa; Chordata; Mammalia; Artiodactyla; Suidae.
UUUUUUUUUUUUUUUUUUUUUUUUUUUUUGGUCUUUUUGCCUCUUGAGGGCCACUUCCACAGCAUAUGGAGGUUCCCAGGCUAGGGGUCUAAUUGGAGCUGUGGCUGCCGGCCUGCGCCAGAGCCACAGCAAUGCGGGAUCCGAGCCGCGUCUGUAACCUACACCACAGCUCAUGGCAACGCUGGAUCCUUAACCCACUGAGCAAGGGCAGGGAUCAAACCCACGACCACAUGGUUCCUAGUUGGAUUCGUUAACCACUGCGCCACGAUGGGAACUCCUGUUUUGUCUUUAUAGGGCCACACCUGUAGCAUAUAGAGGUUCCCAGGCUAGGGGUCAAAUCAGAGCUGCAGCUGCUGGCCUACGCCACAGCCAGAGCAAACUGGGAUCCAAGCCUCGUCUUCGACCUACACCACAACUCACAGCAAUGCUGGAUCCUUAACCCACUGAGUGAAGCUGGGGAUUGAACCCAGGUCCUCAUGGAUAUUAGUCAUUAACCACUGAGCUAUGACAGGAACUUUUUCCACUUACUUUUUUUUUUUUAAACCUCUAGAUUAUAAGACUCUUGAGAUUGGGGAACAUUUCACUCAAUUUUUGUUUUCUCCAGCACCCAGCACCCUGCCUGGAAUGUGGCAGGCCCUCCACUGUUGAUUGGAUGAAAGACAUUUAAUAAACGUCUGCCCAAUGUAGUCCCAACCGAGGUGUCAUUUAAACUAUCAAAGUUUUGGAGUUCCCAUUGUGGUGCAAAAGAAACAAAUCCAACAUGAGAUUGAGUGUUUGAUCCCCAGCCCUGCUCAGUGGGUUAAGGAUCUGGCGUUGCCAUGAGCUGUGGUGUAGGUCACAGACACGGCUUGGAUCCCGAGUUGCUGUGGCUGUGACUUACAUCACAGCUCACGGCAAUACCAGAUCCCCGACCCACUGAGCAAGGUCAGAGAUCGAACCCAAAUCUUCAUGGCUACUAGUCAGGUUCGUUACCACUAAGCCACGAUGGGGACUCUUAAACUUGAAAGUUAAUUAAAGUUUGGGCGUAGAAACAGAAUUCCAAGUAAGUGAUGCAGGUGAUGGAAAUAGGUACAGCCUACAAGGCAGGCAAAAGGGAAGGGGCUGUCAUUUUGCACAUGACUUUUCAUGUCAUUUAACAUUAUGUCUUGGAUGUUUUACCAUGUUUCUAAUGUAGAGUGAUCUGAUUAUCUUUCCUGCCCACAUUGGACUCUGUUGUAUGGCCAUGGGUUAAAUUAUUUCUUUAGCUUGUCCCCAGUUAACACCACUACAUCCACAGCUGCAGGUGAAAUUCUCAGACAUGCCUCCUUCUGAGAAUAUGUAUUUCUCAAGAAAGGCUCUUGACAACUGGCAGUUUAUACUCAUGGAUAAUUAUAAUGGAUUUUGCCAAAUUGCUCUCCUAACUGGCUGUACCAACACUCCUAGCAACCCUGUAUUUGCAUGGCCUAGUUGCAUUCUGUCAAUUAUUGCUCCUCCUCUGUGAAUCAGUCCUUUCAUCCCCCACCCCACUCCACAAAAGCCACCCACCC